This 472-nucleotide ribosomal RNA is filed under the name uncultured bacterium. RNAcentral describes it as "partial 16S ribosomal RNA". It matches the Rfam family "Bacterial small subunit ribosomal RNA", at positions 28 to 507 of the family's 1533-position model. The record is from RNAcentral.
GACGAACGCUGGCGGCGUGCUUAACACAUGCAAGUCAAACGCUGAAGCUUGGUGCUUGCACUGGGUGGAUGAGUGGCGAACGGGUGAGUAAUACGUGAGUAACCUGCUCUUGACUCUGGGAUAAGCCUGGGAAACUGGGUCUAAUACUGGAUACGACAUGUCACCGCAUGGUGGUGUGUGGAAAGGGUUUUACUGGUUUUGGAUGGGCUCACGGCCUAUCAGCUUGUUGGUGGGGUAAUGGCUCACCAAGGCGACGACGGGUAGCCGGCCUGAGAGGGUGACCGGCCACACUGGGACUGAGACACGGCCCAGACUCCUACGGGAGGCAGCAGUGGGGAAUAUUGCACAAUGGGCGGAAGCCUGAUGCAGCGACGCCGCGUGAGGGAUGACGGCCUUCGGGUUGUAAACCGCUUUCAGCACGGAAGAAGCGAAAGUGACGGUACGUGCAGAAGAAGCGCCGGCUAACUACGUG